This 253-nucleotide ribosomal RNA is filed under the name uncultured bacterium. RNAcentral describes it as "partial 16S ribosomal RNA". It matches the Rfam family "Bacterial small subunit ribosomal RNA", at positions 524 to 776 of the family's 1533-position model. The record is from RNAcentral.
UACGAAGGGGGCUAGCGUUGUUCGGAAUUACUGGGCGUAAAGGGCGCGUAGGCGGGCCAUCAAGUCAGGGGUGAAAGCCCCCGGCUCAACCGGGGAAGUGCCUCUGAUACUGGUGGUCUCGAGGGAGAUAGGGGCGUGCGGAACUUCCGGUGGAGCGGUGAAAUGCGUAGAUAUCGGAAGGAACACCGGUGGCGAAAGCGGCGCGCUGGAUCUCUUCUGACGCUGAGGCGCGAAAGCCAGGGGAGCGAACGGG